AACGAACGCUGGCGGCGCGUUUUAAGCAUGCAAGUCGAACGGUAGGCUGGGGGCAACUCCGGCUGAGAGUGGCGAACGGGUGAGUAACACGUAGACAAUCUGGCCCUGGGACAGGGAUAGCUCAUGGAAACAUGGGGUAAUACCUGGUGAGGUCGUGAGUGCUGAGGCUCUUGCGAUGAGAGGCUUCAAUUGGAGCGCCUUGGGGUGAGUCUGCGGUCCAUUAGCUAGUUGGAGGGGUAAUGGCCCACCAAGGCGACGAUGGAUAGCCGGCCUGAGAGGGUGUACGGCCACACUGGGACUGAGACACGGCCCAGACUCCUACGGGAGGCAGCAGCUAAGAAUCUUCCGCAAUGGGCGAAAGCCUGACGGAGCGACGCCGCGUGGACGAUGAAGGCCGUAAGGUUGUAAAGUCCUUUUCUCUGUGAGGAAUGAGUGGGGGAGUGGAAAGCCCCCAUGAUGACGGUAACGGAGGAAUAAGCACCGGCUAACUACGUGCCAGCAGCCGCGGUAA
This 511-nucleotide ribosomal RNA is filed under the name uncultured bacterium. RNAcentral describes it as "partial 16S ribosomal RNA". It matches the Rfam family "Bacterial small subunit ribosomal RNA", at positions 29 to 523 of the family's 1533-position model. The record is from RNAcentral.